GAAAUGCGAUAAGUAGUGUGAAUUGCAGAAUUCAGUGAAUCAUCGAAUCUUUGAACGCACAUUGCGCUCUCUGGUAUUCCGGAGAGCAUGCCCGUUUCAGUAUCAUUAGGAACUCACCGUUCGUUCUGGCUUAGUCGGAGGAGGACAGGUGGAUGUUGGAUGGUUUGGGUCUCCACCCAAACAUCUUAAAACUAUGGUGCGUGCUCCAGCUGAAGUCAGAUGGAUGUUAAGGUGCAACAGAAAUUUUCUAUUCACUUUGACGUUGAUUGACGAGGUUGGUUGCGUGUGCUCCUGGUCGACGGUUGGACUGUGGAAGCAGUCUUACUGGUAACUUGGUCUGAAAUCGGGCAAGAAAACCCGCUGAACUUAA
This 370-nucleotide unclassified non-coding RNA is filed under the name uncultured fungus. RNAcentral describes it as "sequence contains ITS1". The stretch from base 1 to 105 matches the Rfam family "5.8S ribosomal RNA", at positions 50 to 154 of the family's 154-position model. The record is from RNAcentral. Lineage: Eukaryota; Fungi.